RNAcentral lists this ribosomal RNA (292 nucleotides) under uncultured bacterium. Its description in RNAcentral is "partial 16S ribosomal RNA". It matches the Rfam family "Bacterial small subunit ribosomal RNA", at positions 505 to 796 of the family's 1533-position model. The record is from RNAcentral.
GUGCCAGCCGCCGCGGUACUACGGAGGAUCCAAGCGUUAUCCGGAUUUAUUGGGUUUAAAGGGUCCGCAGGCGGGGUAUUAAGUCAGUGGUGAAAGGCUGUCGCUUAACGAUAGCAUUGCCAUUGAUACUGGUACUCUUGAGUGUAGUUGAGGUGGGCGGAAUAAGUCAUGUAGCGGUGAAAUGCAUAGAUAUGACUUAGAACACCGAUUGCGAAGGCAGCUCACUAAACUACUACUGACGCUGAGGGACGAAAGCGGGGGGAGCGAACAGGAUUAGAUACCCGAGUAGUCC